AGGGUUUUGUUUGGAACUGUGUGGAGUCUCAAUGACGUGUGUGCAACAAGACUUGCCAUUGUAGUGUCGAAUUUGAUUGUUUUUUUGAAUUAGGGCUGGGCGAUAUGGCGUUUUUUAGACAGUUUUAUGUCUUCCACAGCUCCUCUACCACACGGGGUCCCCCAGGGCUCAAUCCUUGCCCCAAUCUUCCAUCCAUUUUCUACCGCUUAUUCCCUUUUUUGGGGUCGCGGGGGGGGCGCUGGCGCCUAUCUCAGCUACAAUCGGGCGGAAGGCGGGGUACACCCUGGACAAGUCGCCACCUCAUCGCAGGGCCAACACAGAUAGACAGACAACAUUCACACUCACAUUCACACACUAUUUGCGCUUUACCUUCUCCCCCUUGGUUCUAUUUUUAGGAAGUAUGGUAUUGCAUUUAAUUUGUAUGCCGAUGAUUGCCAGAUCUAUAUUCCCAUGGCACAAAAUAACCCGGUUCAACGUCUCAUUGACUACCUGCACGACAUCAAAGCCUGGCUUUCAGCUAACUUCCUGAGCCUAAAUGAAGACAAAACAGAAGUUAUGUUGUUCGGUCCAAGUUAAGGAUGUCCCGAUCCAGGUUUUUGCACUUCCGAUCCGAUACCGAUAUUGUUUUUGAACUUCCGAUUCGAUACCGAUACUGGCCUAUCCGAGCAUGUAUUAAAGUUUAAAGUUAUUUAGCCUAAUUAGUUGUCAGAUUCAUGUUGAAAAGGGUUUUAGUACUCUUGAUAACAGCUAGCCAGCUGAAUUAGGUGAGUUUGAAUAAUACACAAUAUUUGGUAUUCAAGGAUAACAAAAUUGAAAAAAUUAUACACGUCAAACAGAAAUGGCAUCAUUUAACAGUAAAAAAGUUAUAUUUACAUCUAUAAAGUGCAAAUAAUGCUGUAAAAAUUAUUUUAAAAAGCCUGAGUGGGAUAAAAUGUCUAUAACUCAGCAUCAAUACUUGCUCUUGAACAAGUGUAAACUUAAAAAAAAAUACAAAAAAAUUAUCAACACACUUUUUCAAAUGUUUGCCCCAGUCAGGGGGGGCAAACAAUGGAAGUCCAAGCAUGAUGGGGAGAUUCUUUCUAACAAAGACGAGCACUUCAAGAAGCUCAGGUGUCAACCUGCUCCUGUGUUCAUCUAUGAGUGCUAAAAAGCCUCUCACUCUUAAAAGUCAUUAAAAUGUCUUACAACUUUACCACCACGCUUGACUUUAUUGUGGCAUUGUUUUGCACUCCACCUCUUCAUCUUUUUCGUUUUGUAGGGUAAAAUAAUCCCACACAGCUGCCGUUUUUGCCCUAGCUUUUAAUUCACACUGCCGUCUUAACAGUUAGAACACAGACCUUUAGAUGUGUUGAAGGUGUGCUGGAAAAUGCGGAACGGAAGGUAGAGAGCAGCAUAAGAGUGGAAUGUAUUAUUAAAAUUGGUGCGUUGGAAAAUACGGACCGGAUUUUAAAAAAAAACUGGAUCUGGAUCGGCAUUUUCCCAUGCCUUGCCGAUACGCAUUUUUUGUCAAAUAUCGGCGGCCGAUCGGAUCCAAAUAUCGGAUCGGGACAACCCUAGUCCAAGUCGCUCUACCUCCCACAAUGUUGAUCUCGGCACUCCGACCCCGUAUCUCACCGACUGUGUCACAAACCUGGGGUAAAGUUCGACUCAGAUUUUAAAUUCGAAUAACAAAUCAGCAGCGUCGUUCAAAAAAGCUUUUAUCAAUUACGCCAAAUAGCGAAAGUGAAACCGCUUCUGUCAGGACAUGAACUCGAGAAAUUAAUUCACGCCUUUAUCUCGAAUCGUUUAGACUACUGCAAUGCCCUGAAUGUGGGCAUUAGCCAGGCCUCCCUUGCCCGCCUGCAGCUCGUGCAGAACUCUGCUGCUCGUCUGCUAACACAGACCCACAGACGUGAGCACAUCACCCCUAUAUUAGCGUCCCUUCACUGGCUCCCUGUGCGUUGUCGAAUCAAUUUUAAACUUAUAUUUGUUUUUAAAUGUCUAAACAACCUCGCGCUAACAUAUCUUUCCGACCUCCUGCAGCCUUACUCCCCCACCCGAUCCAUAAGAUCAGCCGAUCAGCUGCUACUGACGGUCCCUGACACAAGGCUGAAGCUUAGAGGUGACAGAGCAUUCGCCGCUGCUGCUCCCAAGCUCUGGAACGACCUACCUCUGAGUGUUAGACAAGCCUCCUCUCUUCCUGUUUUUAAAUCACUCUUAAAAACAUACUUUUAAUCCUUGGCUUUUAACACUGAGUGAUAUCCAUCCUGCAAUGGCGCCCCAUUGUACACCUGCUGUGAACCAUUUUUUUUUUUAUCAUGUUCUGUUUGUGUUGUGUUGUUUGCUCGGUUCUCGUAUUAUCUUUUAACCUGCCCAUUGUACAGCACUUUGGCUACCCCUGUGGUAAAUUUAAAAUGUGCUUUAUAAAUAAAGUUGAUUUUAUUAGAUUUUUUAAAUAUCUCUAUAUUUUUAGGCCGUAUCAAGAUACACGAUAUAUAUCUCGAUAUUUUGCCUUAGCCUUGAAUUAACACCUCAUGCAUAUAAUCAAAGCAGUAUGAUGAUUCUACGUGUCUACAUUAAAACAUUCUUGCUCCAUACAUCCAUCUAUUUUCUACCGCUUGUCCCUUUUGGGGUCGCUGAAGCCUAUCUCAGCUGCAUUCAGGCGGAAGGCGCGCUUACACCCUGGACAAGUCGCCACCUCAUCACAAACAGUCUUGUUCAUACUGCAUUAAUAUAUGCUCAUUUUAAACUUUCAUGCAGAGAGGGAAAUCACAACUAAGUCAAUUUACCAAUACUGUAUUUAUUAAACUGUUAUUAAGCAUUCACGGGGAGAACAUGCAAACUCAGGCGACUUGUCCUGGGUGUACCCUGCCUUCCGCCCGAUUGUAGCUGAGAUAGGCGCCAGCGCCCCCCGCGACCCCAAAAGGGAAUAAGCGGUAGAAAAUGGAUGGAUGGAUGUUAUUAAGCAGUGGCACAAACAUUCAUGUCAUUUCACAACAGAAAGUUCAAGCUUGUCAGAGAUAUUUUAAAAUAGGCUAUUAGUGCGCUUUGGUGCAUGAUGUCACGAAGAUGACAUAUCAAAACAACACUAAAUUAAAGUGCACUUUUUGUACAGAACCCAACUGCAAUAGUUUAUCUUGUGUUUUUUCACACAAAAUAUUUCAACAGCCAUCAAAUAAAAAUGACCAAAAGUGAACAUUAUUUGUUUUAAACUAUUGUAGAUUUUGUUCUCUACAAAAAGUGCGCUUUAAUUUAGUGUUGAUAAAUUUACCUUAUUGGGGUUUCCCUCUCUGCAUGAAAGUUUAAAAUGAGCACAUGAUCAAGAAUGUUUUAAUAUUGACACAUAGAAUCAUCAUACUGCUGUUAUUAUAUGCAUCAGGUCUUAAUUCAAGGUUAAGGCAAAAUAUCGAAAUAUACAUCGUGUAUCGUGUAAUGGCUUAAAAAUAUCGAGAUAUUAAUAAAAGGCCAUCGCCCAGCCCUAAUAUAUUUACAUAUAUAUAUAUAUAUAUAUAUAUAUAUAUAGAUACAUAUAUAUAUAGAUAUAGAUAUAUAAUAUAAUAUAAUAUACUUUGCAGAUGUUGUGAUGAUGUAUCUACUUAUGCUGGCGGGUCGCGUCUUUUCCUGCGUUCACAAGUGAUGUAGCUUGCCCACAGAUGAGGGAAAUUUGGCAUUCAUGUUGCUGCGUUUAGACUGCAGUCACAUUUGAAAAGAUCAGAUUCCAAUUGGAUUUGGACUACCUAAUGAUAUGGCCUGAAUCAGAUGUGAAAAAAAUCAGAUUUUCAGCACUUGGCAGCAUUUAGACUGGCAAAAAAGUCAGAUCUGUGUCACUUGAGGGUAAAAAAAUCAGAUUUGGUGUGCAGAGUAAACGGGGCCAAUAUGUUAACAGUGGUCCAAGUUUCUCUAUACAAAAGGAAACUCUAGUGUUUUUAGGAAUUUACUGCAAAAACAUUUGUCUCACAAGUUUUGAACUGUUGAAUAGCCCUGGUCUAAGGUGUGAAUUUAGGGGAAAUAUGUUUUUUUCCCUCAACAGACAACACUUGUACAAACCCCGUUUCAAUAUGAGUUGGGAGAUUGUGUUAGAUGUAAAUAUAAAUGGAAUACAAUGACUUGCAAAUCCUUUUCAACCCAUAUUCAAUUAAAUGCACUACAAAGACAAAAUAUUUGAUGUUCAAACUCAUAAAAAAAAUUGUUUUGCAAAUAAUAAUUAACUUAGAAUUUCAUGGCUGCAACACGUGCCGAAGUAGUUGAGAAAAGGCAUGUUCACCACUGUGUUACAUCACAUUUUCUUUUAACAGCACUCAAUGAACAUUUGGGAACUGAGGAAACUUAAUUGUUGAAGCUUUGAAAGUGGAAUUCUUUACCAUUCUUGCUUGAUGUACAGCUUAAGUUGUUCAACAGUCCGGGGUCUUGUUGUCGUAUUUUACGCUUCAUAAUGCGCCACACAUUUUCGAAGGGAGACAUGUCUGGACUGCAGGCAGGCCAGAAAAGUACCCGCACUCUUUUACUUUGAUGCCACGCUGUUGUAACACGUGGUUCUGCAUUGUUUUGCUGAAAUAAGCAGGGGCGUCCAUGGUAACGUUGCUUGGAUGACAACAUAUGUUGCUCCAAAACCUGUAAGGACCAUUCAGCUUUAAUGGUGCCUUUACAGAUGUGUAAUUUACCAAUGCCUUGGGCACUAAUACACCCUCAUACCAUCACAGAUGCUGGCUUUUGAACUUUGCGCCGAUAACAAUCCGGAUGGUUAUUUUCCUCUUUGUUCCGGAGGACACCACGUCCACAGUUUUCAAAUAUAAUUUGAAAUGUGGACUCGUCAAGACCACAGAACACUUUUCCACUUUGCAUCAGUCCAUCUUAGAUGAGCUCGGGCGGAGCCAAGCCGGCGGCGUUUCAUGGUGUUGUUGGUAAAUGGGUUUGGCUUUGCAUUGUAGAGUUUUAACUUGCACUUACAGAUGUAGCGACCAACUGUAGUUACUGACAGUGGUUUUAUGAAGUGUUCCUGAGCCCAUGUGGUGAUAUCCUUUACACACUGAUGUCGGUUUUUGAUGCAGUACCGCCUGAGGGAUCAAAUGUCCGUAAUAUCAUCGCUUACGUGCAGUGAUUUCUCCAGAUUCUCUGAACCUUUUGAUGAUUUUAUGUACCGUAGAUGGUAAAAUCCCUAAAUUCCUUGCAAUAGCUCGUUGAGAAAUGUUGUUCUAAAACUGUUCGACAAUUUGCUUACAAAUUGGUGACCCUCGCCCCAUCCUUGUUUGUGAAUUACUUAGCAUUUCAUGGAAGCUGCUUUUUUACCCAAUCAUGGCACCCAACUGUUCCCAAUUAGCCUGCACACCUGUGGGAUGUUCCAAAUAAGUGUUUGAUGAGCAUUCCUCAACUUAAUCAGUAUAUAUUGCCACCUUUCCCAACUUCUUUGUCACGUGUUGCUGGCAUCAAAUUCUAAAGUUAAUGUUUAUUUGCAAAAAAAAAAAGUUCAUCAGUUUGAACAUCAAAUAUGUUGUCUUUGUAGCAUAUUCAACUGAAUAUGGGUUGAAAA
Molecule: long non-coding RNA, 5506 nt
Organism: Nerophis ophidion (straightnose pipefish)
Lineage: Eukaryota; Metazoa; Chordata; Actinopteri; Syngnathiformes; Syngnathidae
Exons: 2
Source: RefSeq, a predicted model, not a curated record